GCUCCUUCCCUCUUACAUUUGCAGUUUCCCAGGUGGUAGGAAGAGGGUAUCAGGUCCUGCUGUAGGUGGGCUUCUCUGGAUUUCAGAGAGAGGAAUUUAAGGGCCUAGAAGGAUCAAAUUGAAUGGAAAAUGGUAGUUCCUUCAAGACUGCAUUUUAAAUUGAAUUAAAAAGAAUUCGGUUUGAUUCUAUGUUUUUUAUAGGUUUUAUAGCAUCAUGGGACCUGAUCAACUGACAAGCAGAGCUAAUGAAAGCCUAUCACCAGAAGUAUACAGCAUUUCCCUUCAAAGGGGAUCUCAUUUUCACCAAAGAACUCACAAGCAAAAUGACAGUGGAAUAUGUUGGAACAGAAGUGUUCAUGUCUUUUUACACUGUCCUGCCAGAGGUAAGAUUUUAGAGCUGCAAACUCAUUAUCUUUUUUGUGAGUUGUGUGGUAUGUGGUGUUGUUUUUAAAGUCCUGUAUAGGGACA
This is a long non-coding RNA of Calidris pygmaea (Spoon-billed sandpiper), 468 nucleotides long. The record is from Ensembl. NCBI's taxonomy places the organism in Eukaryota, Metazoa, Chordata, Aves, Charadriiformes, Scolopacidae.